AGAACCUCCUAGACAUUCAUUUUGGUGGUAAUAAGGUUUGUUAUUUAUAAUUUAUAUAAUUAUAUCAUGUCUAAAUUAGUUAAUAUUAAUGAUGUCCAAAUAUGAUAAAUGAUAACGUUUUUAUUUGAUAUAUAAAUGUUUAGUAUAUAGUUUUAUAUCUUUAUUUUAUUUAUUUCUAUCGAUAUCUACUCAUUUUAUGAAUUUU
This 205-nucleotide unclassified non-coding RNA is filed under the name Hevea brasiliensis (rubber tree). The record is from RNAcentral. Lineage: Eukaryota; Viridiplantae; Streptophyta; Magnoliopsida; Malpighiales; Euphorbiaceae.